GAGGUGUUAGGUUAAGUCCUGCAACGAGCGCAACCCCUGUCACUAGUUGCCAUCAUUAAGUUGGGGACUCUAGUGAGACUGCCUACGCAAGUAGAGAGGAAGGUGGGGAUGACGUCAAAUCAUCACGGCCCUUACGCCUUGGGCCACACACGUAAUACAAUGGCCGGAACAGAGGGCAGCUACACAGCGAUGUGAUGCAAAUCUCGAAAGCCGGUCUCAGUUCGGAUUGGAGUCUGCAACUCGACUCUAUGAAGCUGGAAUCGCUAGUAAUCGCGCAUCAGCCAUGGCGCGGUGAAUACGUUCCCGGGUCUUGUACACACCG
Molecule: ribosomal RNA, 322 nt
Filed under: Chryseobacterium sp. BV31
Lineage: Bacteria; Pseudomonadati; Bacteroidota; Flavobacteriia; Flavobacteriales; Weeksellaceae
Description: bacterial SSU rRNA
Rfam family: Bacterial small subunit ribosomal RNA
Source: RNAcentral